AGUUUUCCCUAUCGCGGGGACGGCGGAGUCAGUGCCGUCGCUCCUCGCGGUAGUUCUAUCGAAAGCCAGGAGGGCGGGCGCCACGGACGGCGCAUU
Non-coding RNA from Xanthomonas campestris pv. campestris str. 8004, 96 nucleotides. Lineage: Bacteria; Pseudomonadati; Pseudomonadota; Gammaproteobacteria; Lysobacterales; Lysobacteraceae. The record is from Rfam.